Molecule: long non-coding RNA, 552 nt
Filed under: Phoenix dactylifera (date palm)
Lineage: Eukaryota; Viridiplantae; Streptophyta; Magnoliopsida; Arecales; Arecaceae
Description: long non-coding RNA (PDAC_LNC021657)
Source: RNAcentral
AUGCCAAUUUUUUUGCUUCGAAAUUUUCUUCCGUUAAUCGUUUCAGUAUUUGGGUCUGUAAAUCUUGUUUCGCUAAUUGGUAUUUUGACAUUUUGGGAUAACGUUCGUUUCUUGUUCAAAAGAUCAAGGGUUCUGGGCAAGUUAUUGGCCUCUUCGACCGAAUAAAUAAGGUAGUAAAGAAAUAAUUGAGAAAAAGAGAAGAUCCUUUUUAGAAUCUAGCCGAGCUGAAUCUUCGUAAACUUCUAUCCAGUUAUAGAACAGUAUACAUAUACUCUCAUGGUUCAAGAAUGGUAGCAAAUUCACGGCUGCUUAAAGCGAUUGGAAUUUCUGACAAUAAUAUUGACUCAUUGGCAUUGCAUGUAAGCUGCAAAUUGAAAAGUGUAUUGGGGAGUACGUAGGUAGACUGUGCACUUCUCACAUUGUAGAGGUACACGCCUCUGCUCAACUCAGGCUGUGCCCAUCCCUGUGGUGGCAAACUGAAUGUAUUGGAAUCCACUGCUUGCUAGGACUGAGUUGCACAUGAAUUUGAACCUGUGCCCAAGAUGAGCUGAU